GCCAGAGACGCCAGCCUGCAGGAGCCACACGACACUCAAUGAAUCCAAGACCAGGCCUCUUCUCCCUUCAAUGGAUUGUUCGGCAGAGAUGUAAAUGGACACAGGAGGGUCAAGAUGUUUGCUCCAUAAUGGCUGAGCCUUAGCUAAGAGGACCCGAGAACUAGAGGUAAAAUCUCGGAGGUGCCAGAGGAAAUCAGAGCCAAGAGAUGACAAGCAAAAUAGAGCCACGUGGAGCAUGCUUAUGUGCUGCAUUUGGCUGUGUCUGAAAGCCAUGCCUGCACCACCCAACCGCAAGAACCAAUAACUUUCUCCAUGUCAGUUAAGUCCAUUUGAGUUGAGGUUCCUGUCGCUUAUAGUCAAAAUAUUUCAAAGUACCAUAGUAUGGAUAUAUUAUGUAUGACCUAGUUAAGUGGUGUUUUGGGCUGCUUAUGAAAAUAAAUGCAACGAUUGGUCUCUA
Molecule: long non-coding RNA, 457 nt
Organism: Echinops telfairi (small Madagascar hedgehog)
Lineage: Eukaryota; Metazoa; Chordata; Mammalia; Afrosoricida; Tenrecidae
Exons: 3
Source: RefSeq, a predicted model, not a curated record